RNAcentral lists this unclassified non-coding RNA (2051 nucleotides) under Schistocerca americana (American grasshopper). RNAcentral describes it as "isochorismatase domain-containing protein 1-like, transcript variant X1". The record is from RNAcentral. Lineage: Eukaryota; Metazoa; Arthropoda; Insecta; Orthoptera; Acrididae.
GAAAAAAAUAAACAUCCUCGACGAUAGAAACUAGGCAUGAACACGUCGUUGUGAGGUGAUGGAGAAGUGUCACUGCUAUCAAUCUAGCAUGUGCUGAAUGCUCGUUCCAGAGAUAUUUCUACUUGUUGGUUGUAUGUAAUGUAUGUCUGUGGCUGGGUGAAACUGAAAAUCAGUGAUAUAUGCAACAACUGUUCAGUGCGUUGCGUCGUUUGUUGUGUGGAGGGUGUUGCAACAAAGAACGAGCGUUUUUGUUUUCCGAGAUGGCCAGUUUGAGAAUUAAUGGCCAGUUGUCUGAAGAUCAUACCGCAUUUUUCAUGUGUGAUGUACAGGAAAAAUUUAGAGGUGUCAUUGCAUAUUACGACGCGGUUAUCAGCGUGGCUGAUAAAAUGGUGAAAACAGCAAAAAUAUUGAAUAUACCUUUGAUAGUGACUGAGCAGUACCCAAAGGGCUUGGGACGCACUGUAUCUGAGCUAGAUAUCAGCCAUGCAUAUCUUGUGGAAGAAAAAACGAAAUUCAGUAUGAUAACUCCAGUAGUUACUCAAGCUAUGCAGGAAAUUUGCAAAGGAGCUGUGAAAGCUAUAGUACUUUUUGGCGUGGAGGCUCAUGUUUGUGUGGAACAGACUGCAGCAGAGUUACUAGCCCAUGGUAUGCAGGUGCAUGUUGUUGCUGACUGUACAUCGUCACGGUCACAAGAAGAUCGUUUCCUGGCUCUUCAUAGAAUGAGUCAGAUGGGUUGUUACAUCACCACCAGUGAAACAGUUAUAUUCAAAUUGCUUGGUGAUAAGAACCACCCUAAGUUUGCUGAAAUAAGGCCAUUGAUCAAAACUCCAUCACCACCAACAGGAUUGGUUAAUUACUCUAAAAUGUGUAACUAAUAUAUCCACUGAAGGGGCACUACUGCUUUUUAUUAAAUUCUUGUAAUGUGUGGAUUCCAGAAAUAUUUGGGUAGAGGGAAAUCAGUAAAAAUUUAUGGAACAAGUUGAUGUUCUUGUACUUGGGAGGGUAAGGACAUGAUCACAUAGAAGAAAAGAAAAAGCAGAAAAGGAAAUGUCAUUGAAUUUAACUGCAUUCAUUAUCAGUCAUUCUGACUGAAAUGUUAACCAGUGCUAAUAAGUUAUCCUUAUUGCACCUACUCAAUGUUUUUCCAUGUCAAGUAUUUCAUUUCAUUUUUAACUACCACAUUAUAGACUUAAGUUUUGUAUGAAAAUAUGAUUUCGUAAACUCAUAUCAGAUUCUCAAUCAUUUUCCUUUUUAUUGUAGACAGAUACAGAACAUAGUUUCUGGCCACUAUUUAGUAAUUGUGUUAUCAGAUGUUGUGUAGUUUUUAUGAUUUUGCCACAAAUAUAUGCAAUUAAACCUGCAUUAGCUAUCAUUAUAUAACUGAAGUUACAAGUGAAUUCAACAUAAUACAAAUUUUGAUUAUGUUGUCUUCAAUAUUGUCCUUUCUUUAAAAAAAUAAUUUGUAUUAGUGACUUUUGUAAGCAGUUUGGGGAAGCUCACAGUACAGAUUAAUUUCCAGUGAGAAAUAUGCCCAAUUUUCUCCAUGCAGCUUGUUUUAAAAAUAAACAGUGAUGGUGAUGGAUUUAACAUUGAUUGUUCAUGUAUCUUGAAAGAUACUGAUUUAUAAUUGCAGCAGCCAGAAAAUGGUUUGUGUUAUUUGAUCAGUUAAUAAGUGCAAGUAAAUAUUGUGUAAUAAGAAAUUAUAUCAUGGAAUUAAGAUAUUACAACAGUGGUGGUAUAUUUUAUUUUGUUCAAGUUAGUAUCAGGACAAGAAAGAUUAAGACAGUGGAGAACGAGUAAUAUUAUUCAAUGUCUCAAUGUAAUUUGAUGUUAUUUCAUAGAUGUGUGGCGUAUUCUCAGUGGUGCUUAAAUUAAGUGUUCUACAUGGUUACAAGAAUAACUUUGGCUCAUUGUUAUAUUACACACCUACAUGUGAGAAAAUAAUGUAAAAAUUGCAUUGAAAUAUUAAGCUAAUUUUUUUUUUAAUAAUUUGGUACAGAAAUGUAAAAUACUUAAUGAGAAAUAAAUUUAACUUCGUUUAAUGGGCAUUA